GUGCAUGUCACGUUGAACAAGACUGUGGGCUACUAGCCUUAUCAAGUUUUGCUGAGCAAGUCCUCCGCUCAGCAAGUUAAUUGCAAUCUUUUUUUGCAUCUCACACCUGCUCCUGUUAGAGUAGAGCCUUCACUGCCGACUAUCCACAGCCCUGCUUCACUGAACGCACCAGAGCAUCUCCUGGCCACAUGCGAGUGGCAUGUCCUGCUCCUCGUUGGACCCGUGAGGCUGUGCCACCAAUCAUCACUUCCUUAGUCCCGGCUAUUCAAUCAUCGCUGUACUGCCCCUCCCACCGGGACCACAUCCACCUCCACCUAUGUUGCCUACCGCAUGAUGACACCAUGCACCCGAGGGCCACCAUGACGACAUCCUCUGCUUCCUCCACUGCUGCAUACUCAUUCCAACACCACCAACUCAGCCUUCAAGCCUCAGACCUUCAAAACUUCGACCCAGGCCCCCAAACCAGCUCGACCUGACUUCUCUCCCAGCCUCAGAUUACAACUUUGCAUGUCCCUGCAGCUACAGCUCCCCCUGACGGCCCAGCAGGCAGUCUUUCUGUCUCCCCUGUCUCUCUAAUACCUGACACAGGUACAUGUCCCUCCCCCUCUCUCUCACUGACCCUGUUUCCUCCACGCCGGCUCCCUUGCCUCUUGCUACUACUUUUCUUUCCUGCCCCACUGGACCCUGGCUCACCCUCUCUAUGCCAGUAUAUCGAUCAGCUCCCGCUUCCACCACUGCAGCAUCUCCCCUCUCUCUGCCCACGACAACCUCUCACAUCCCCACCUACUCAGCCAGUUACGUGCCCGCCGUUCCCCGCAGCGGUCUGGCCCGUGGCCUUCCCAGGUGUGACCCUGUCCCAGUUCAGUGAACCUGACUUCCUCUCUGUUCCAGUCUUCACUACCGGUCACUCUGGCCUCCCAGCGACCUAGCCAGCGCUAUCUUUACAGCCUCUAGCAGCUCUCCCCCUUUCAGGUCCCACUGGCCCCGUGACCGCUGCUCCCCCUAUCUCUGCCAGUUACGAUCUCUCCUCACCUCAGGUCCCUCUGGCCCCGUGCAGCAGCUUAUCCCCUCUCUCUGCCAGUCACAUCCUCCCCCCUCAGGCCCGCCGGCCUGUGACCGCUGCUCCCAUGGUGACACACCCUCCCUCUCCACCAGUGACGACCUCAAUCUUUGGCUCAGACAGCUACGUAUAUGUUCCUGCUGCUUUGGCUCGGCCCCUGUUCCUCACAGCUGUAACCUUCUCUCAGUUCAAUGAGCAGAUUGUCCGCAGCCCAGCCCUGCCCUCCGGCUCACCAUUCCCUCUCGACAGCCGCCCUGGCUCUUCAUCCACUCAACACACUCCACUUCAAGUCACUUCCAGUCUCUUCCUCGCUUUGCAAGCAAAUCCUACAAGUUCCCGGUGGCCCUUCUCCCCACCUCAGGUUACGCUAGCCCC
Molecule: long non-coding RNA, 1435 nt
Filed under: Salmo salar (Atlantic salmon)
Lineage: Eukaryota; Metazoa; Chordata; Actinopteri; Salmoniformes; Salmonidae
Description: lncRNA (ENSSSAG00000084077.1)
Source: RNAcentral